GAGAGAACCUGCCCUUUGGGUAGAUCUCCCACCCUUUGUUUGUUAUACACUGUUGCUUUGGCGGGCCUGCCUCGGCUGCCGGCGCAAGCUGGCUCGCGCCCGCCAGAGACCAAAACUCUGAAUGUUGUCGUCUGAGAAAUAUAUAAUAAGUUA
This 153-nucleotide unclassified non-coding RNA is filed under the name uncultured Helotiales. RNAcentral's name for it is "sequence contains ITS1". The record is from RNAcentral. Lineage: Eukaryota; Fungi; Ascomycota; Leotiomycetes; Helotiales.